CUUGAAACACGGACCAAGGAGUCUAACAUGUGCGCGAGUCGCUCGGACUUGUUUAGGCCAGAGAGGCGCAAUGAAAGUAAAUUUGAUAUGUUACGAUCCUCAUGUCUGUCAUCACUUGUUGGUGACGGUGGGGCGCAGUAACGGCCCGCCAGUUCUGCUUAUUGACAGUUUGGCGGAGUCAUAGCGUACACGUUGGUACCCGAAAGAUGGUGAGCUUUGCCUGGGCAAGACGAAGCCAGAGGAAACUCUGGUGGAGGUCUGUAGCGAUUCUGACGUGCAAAUCGAUCGUCAGACCUGGGUAAAGGGGCGAAAGACUAAUCGAACCAUCUAGUAGCUGGUUCCCUCUGAAGUUUCCCUCAGGAUAAGCUA
Molecule: ribosomal RNA, 369 nt
Filed under: Geocoris sp. WCW-2003
Lineage: Eukaryota; Metazoa; Arthropoda; Insecta; Hemiptera; Geocoridae
Description: eukaryotic LSU rRNA
Rfam family: Eukaryotic large subunit ribosomal RNA
Source: RNAcentral